RNAcentral lists this ribosomal RNA (301 nucleotides) under uncultured bacterium. Its description in RNAcentral is "partial 16S ribosomal RNA". It matches the Rfam family "Bacterial small subunit ribosomal RNA", at positions 509 to 807 of the family's 1533-position model. The record is from RNAcentral.
CAGUCGCCGCGGUAAUACGGAGGGAGCUAGCGUUGUUCGGAAUUACUGGGCGUAAAGCGCGCGUAGGCGGUUACUCAAGUCAGAGGUGAAAGCCCGGGACUCAACCCCGGAACUGCCUUUGAAACUAGGUGACUAGAAUCUUGGAGAGGUCAGUGGAAUUCCGAGUGUAGAGGUGAAAUUCGUAGAUAUUCGGAAGAACACCAGUGGCGAAGGCGACUGACUGGACAAGUAUUGACGCUGAGGUGCGAAAGCGUGGGGAGCAAACAGGAUUAGAUACCCCGGUAGUCCCUGUCUCUUAUAC